Molecule: non-coding RNA, 111 nt
Filed under: Pseudothermotoga lettingae
Lineage: Bacteria; Thermotogati; Thermotogota; Thermotogae; Thermotogales; Thermotogaceae
Also listed under: 1 other name
Description: Thermotoga lettingae TPP sequence
Rfam family: TPP riboswitch aptamer (THI element)
About the family: Vitamin B(1) in its active form thiamin pyrophosphate (TPP) is an essential coenzyme that is synthesised by coupling of pyrimidine and thiazole moieties in bacteria. The previously detected thiamin-regulatory element, thi box was extended, resulting in a new, highly conserved RNA secondary structure, the THI element, which is widely distributed in eubacteria and also occurs in some archaea.
Source: RNAcentral
UCUUUCUCCAUGGGGAGCUCCUGUUUUGGGGCUGAGAGGAGGACGAAAGUCCUCGACCCAAUGAACCUGAUCCAGGUAAUGCUGGCGGAGGGAAUGGAGAAAAAUGAAUAU